UGGGGAAUAUUGGACAAUGGGCGCAAGCCUGAUCCAGCCAUGCCGCGUGAGUGACGAAGGCCUUAGGGUUGUAAAGCUCUUUUGGCGGGGAAGAUAAUGACGGUACCCGCAGAAUAAGCUCCGGCUAACUUCGUGCCAGCAGCCGCGGUAAUACGAAGGGAGCUAGCGUUGUUCGGAAUCACUGGGCGUAAAGCGCACGUAGGUGGGCAGUUAAGUCAGGGGUGAAAGCCCGAGGCUCAACCUCGGAAUUGCCUCUGAUACUGGCUGUCUAGAGUUCGAGAGAGGUGAGUGGAAUUCCUAGUGUAGAGGUGAAAUUCGUAGAUAUUCGGAGGAACACCAGUGGCGAAGGCGGCUCACUGGACCAUUACUGACGCUGAGGUGCGAAAGCGUAGGGAGCAAACAGGAUUAGAUACCCAAGUAGUCCCUGAGCGGGCUGGCAAGGCGCAU
This 447-nucleotide ribosomal RNA is filed under the name uncultured bacterium. RNAcentral's name for it is "bacterial SSU rRNA". It matches the Rfam family "Bacterial small subunit ribosomal RNA", at positions 355 to 825 of the family's 1533-position model. The record is from RNAcentral.